GCAUAUCUGAGGAAAUGCACGAAGUUGGAUGCGAGAGUAAUCAUCAUGGUGUGUGCGCUAUCUGUUUGAAUAAGAUAGUGCUUCAAGAAACUGCUCUUGUUAAAGGUUGCGAGCAUGCCUACUGGUUUGUAUAUACAACCAAUCUCUUCCAUCUGUUUACUGCCAUUUUGAUCACCAGAUGCUCCUGAUAGGAUCCUAUUCAAUUUACUGUUUUAAAUAAAUUGGUCAUAUAAAGUUUGUCCACAGCUAAUUGUUCUACACUUAUUAGUUAAAUCUGCUGCAAUUAAUCGGCUUGUCUUCGAUAGGAUCCUAGCUAUUCAGACCAUUUUCCAGUGGUUAUGGGGCUACAUCAAGGAUCAGCGCUUAGCCCUCUCUUGUUU
This 380-nucleotide long non-coding RNA is filed under the name Nicotiana benthamiana. RNAcentral describes it as "long non-coding RNA (NBEN_LNC002089)". The record is from RNAcentral. Lineage: Eukaryota; Viridiplantae; Streptophyta; Magnoliopsida; Solanales; Solanaceae.